CCUACGGGAGGCAGCAGUGAGGAAUAUUGGUCAAUGGGCUUACGCCUGAACCAGCCAAGUCGCGUGAGGGAAGACUGCCCUAUGGGUUGUAAACCUCUUUUGUCGGGGAGCAAAAGACGCCACGCGUGGCGUUCCGAGAGUACCCGAAGAAAAAGCACCGGCUAACUCCGUGCCAGCAGCCGCGGGACUACGUAGGUGGCAAGAGUUAUCCGGAUUUACUGGGGGUAAAGGGCGUGUAGGCGGGACUGCAAGUCAGAUGUGAAAACCACGGGCUCAACCUGUGGCCUGCAUUUGAAACUGUAGUUCUUGAGUACUGGAGAGGCAGACGGAAUUCCUAGUGUAGCGGUGAAAUGCGUAGAUAUUAGGAGGAACACCAGUGGCGAAGGCGGUCUGCUGGACAGCAACUGACGCUGAGGCGCGAAAGCGUGGGGAGCAAACAGGAUUAGAUACCCUGGUAGUC
This 460-nucleotide ribosomal RNA is filed under the name uncultured bacterium. RNAcentral's name for it is "partial 16S ribosomal RNA". It matches the Rfam family "Bacterial small subunit ribosomal RNA", at positions 338 to 795 of the family's 1533-position model. The record is from RNAcentral.